RNAcentral lists this ribosomal RNA (406 nucleotides) under uncultured bacterium. RNAcentral describes it as "partial 16S ribosomal RNA". It matches the Rfam family "Bacterial small subunit ribosomal RNA", at positions 30 to 526 of the family's 1533-position model. The record is from RNAcentral.
AUUGAACGCUGGCGGCAGGCCUAACACAUGCAAGUCGAACGAGUGGCGGACGGGUGAGUCAUGUCUGGGAAACUGCCUGAUGGAGGGGGAUAACUACUGGAAACGGUAGCUAAUACCGCAUACUAUCGGAUGUGCCCAGAUGGGAUUAGCUAGUAGGUGGGGUAAAGGCUCACCUAGGCGACGAUCCCUAGCUGGUCUGAGAGGAUGACCAGCCACACUGGAACUGAGACACGGUCCAGACUCCGACGGGAGGCAGCAGUGGGGAAUAUUGCACAAUGGGCGCAAGCCUGAUGCAGCCAUGCCGCGUGUAUGAAGAAGGCCUUCGGGUUGUAAAGUACUUUCAGCGGGGAGGCGUUACCCGCAGAAGAAGCACCGGCUAACUCCGUGCCAGCCGCCGCGGUAAUAC